This is a long non-coding RNA of Oncorhynchus tshawytscha (Chinook salmon), 1783 nucleotides long. RefSeq lists it as uncharacterized. NCBI's taxonomy places the organism in Eukaryota, Metazoa, Chordata, Actinopteri, Salmoniformes, Salmonidae. The transcript has 4 exons. The record is from RefSeq and is a predicted model, not a curated record.
CAUUUCGCUACACCCGCAAUAACAUCUGCCAAACAGGUGGAAAACACGUUUUAUUUUUUAUUUGGUUUUUGUUGUUAAACUGGAACAGAAUCACCAGCAAAAGUAAAUACCUGUUUGAAAUCAGUCCAACAGGGGACGGUAUUUAGCGGACACUCUGAGGGUGUACCUACAGCCAUGCCUACUACUUAGAUUGAGUUGAGCGCCUCCUGCUCUGCGCUACGCUACCGCCAGACGGACACACAUUCUUCCAUUCAGUCAGUCAGUUGGCUUGUCUGACGCUAAAGUGCAAGUCGACUAUAGUCUCGGGAUUUGUUUUGAGAGAAAGAGCGUUGUUUCUGUACAGCAAGAGAAAACAUGUGUGUAUAUUGGUUAUUUUGAAUGCGCUUGGAAAAAGUUAAAUUAGUCUAUUUUCUUGCAAAAACGCGGACACAAUGUGACAAUGUUGACCAGCAGACUGGGUUAUCCAUGACGGAUUGGUAAAGAGCUGUUCAUUAAUCAAGGAAAAAGGGACGUAGCAAUGGGGAAACUUCAGUCCAAACAUGCGGGCAAACGUAGAGAGAACCCCGAAGGAGACAGUUUUGUUGUGAACGCUUUCCUCCGAAGAGCGAUGGGGGAAUGUGAGAUGUACAGCUCCUCAGAUCACAAACUGAACAACAUUCAGGUAGGAAACGAAACAAUUGUAUUUUUAAAUGUUUUCCUAUGUGCGUUCUCGGAUAAAAUGAUACAAAAGUAAUAAUAAUUAUAAGAAUGUGGCUAAUAAUUAUAAUGAUUUGGAUACUGAAAAUAAUGCUAAUAAUAAUAAUAAUUUGAUAAUAGUCUAUUAUAAAUAAAAUACAUGACUCUUUAACACAGGUUGAGAAGUUUGCAUAUUAGAUGGUCCAUAGAUGGUCUACAGUUGGGAUCAGUUGUGAUUAGAAGUUCCUCUAACGCUGCCCCAGGAGGACAAAUCAAUGAACUCCUUCAUGAUUCAGACAUCAUUUUGGGGACUGGCGCUCCAUAAAAUGCAAUUUAUUGAAAUGAAAGAUUUAAUGAUCGAAAUUAAGAGUUUUAUCCAAAAUCUCGAGGUUGUUUUCUAGCAUUUAUUUUGUAUGUUUGCAAGUCAUGUUUUCCCCUCCUAGAAACGUGUACAGAUUUGGUAAAGCCUGGCCUAAGAGUUGGUGACUGAAGGGGAAGGUUUGCCCAUACUUCAUUUAGACAAGGACACAGACUGGGGUGUGGUGUCAGUCUGUCUGGCAGGUCCAGGUUGGCAGAAGGACAGUGUUGUGUCAUACCUGUCCCCCUGCCUGUAGAUAAAGUGCUCUCUCUACCACACACUAGCAGAACUAAACUCACUGUGAUCUGCAGUCAUUAAGUAAACAUUCAAAGGCCUUUGCAAAGACAUGUUGAUGUGCAUGAAGUUGCAGAUUUUAGUUGUUGUUGUUUCUGUCAUAUCUGGCGCUGGGACAACAGUGCUGUGGUUAUUCCCCUGGCUGGGAUGUACGCUGGGGAGGUAACAGACUGGCUGGGCUGUACACUGGGGAGGUAACAGACUGGCUGGGAUGUAGACUGGGGAGGUAACAGACUGGCUGGGCUGUACACUGGGGAGGUAACAGACUGGCUGGGAUGUACGCUGGGGAGGUAACAGACUGGCUGGGAUGUACGCUGGGGAGGUAACAGACUGGCUGGGAUGUACGCUGGGGAGGUAACAGACUGGCUGGGAUGUACACUGGGGAGGUAACAGACUGGCUGGGAUGUACACUGGGGAGGUAACAGACUGGCUGGGAUGUAACUGGGGAGGUAACAG